CUACCUCUACCUGCCAAGUGCUAGUAUUAAAAGUGUUCACCACCACCACCCAGCUCUCAAAAAAUUUCUUUAGGGAGUGCGGUUAUAAAGCGUGAUCUCAAACUGUUCACAUGAAGAUCUCAAACUCUUCAUGUGAUGCCAGGUCCUUCUGGGGUUAACUCUGGUGAGUCCUCCAGUAAAUUCUCCUUUCUGCUUUCCUUCUGUGAGACACUGUGUAAGGGGAGCUCCACAGGGCUCCCGCCCGCUACCAGCAUUGAACUGUCUUCACUCUCUCAUCUCAUGCCUUGGUUCAGUUGCCACUGUGCCCUGUGCCGCAGGCUCAGCUCCAUUACACUGUGCCUAGGCUUGCUCCCCAGGGAACCCUGCGUCUUUGAGCAGUUAACCUCAUCUGGGUCAAUUCUCUCUAAUAUGAGAGAAUAGGACUGGGGUUUGUGUGUUUGCCUAGCGUGUACAAGGCUCUGGGUUCAGUAGAGGGACUCAGGGAGAUAACAAGUCUGUGAAGUUUUUCUUUUUGUCUUGAGAUAGGGUCUCAGGUAGCCGAGGCUGGCUUUGAACUUUCUAUGUAGCUGAGGAUGGCCUUGCACUUCUGAUCUUCCUGCCUCCACCUCCCAAAUGCUGGGAUUAUAGAGGUAUAUAUCAUGCCCAGUUUUAUGGGGUUCUGGAGAUCAAAACUAGGGCUUUAUGUAUGCAGGUCCGGCAAACACAAUACCAACUGAGCUACGUUCUCAGAAGUAGUAGGUACGGAGCCUCCGCAAGCCUCUGCACUCAGUAUCUAUUGCUAAGCUCCUCAGAGAAGGCUUUGAAAUUCUCCGGAUCUCUUUCUGUUUCUCUUCUUCCUGAUGCUCCAGGAGCUGACCUGUCUAUUGGUGUGAGUAUUCCUGGGCUUCCUGGAGCACAGAGGGCGGGUAUGCUUCCCUCUGGCAUGUCUGCAUCACAGUGGGGAGAAACCUAUGUAGACUAGAUUUUAUGUCUGCAUCACAGUGGGGAGAAACCUAUGUAGACUAGAUUUUAUGGCCAUGUAACAAAUUGCCACAAAGGUAGCAGCUUAAAACAACAUAAAUUUAUUAAAUCAAAAAUCCGUGGAUCAAAAGCGUGGGUGGCUCAGUUGAGUUCUCUGUUGAGGGCUUUCCCAGUGUGAAGCUAAGAGAUUAAGAAGACGGGGGAAAUUUGUAUCCAGUCUCCUGAGUGUCGGCAGGAUGGUGAUUACAGAUUUCUCUCUCCUGCUGGCUGUCACUGCCUUGUGCUACUCGCAAUGCCUGACAAUGGAGAUUCUCUCUGGUGCUGAGUCCCUCUUAUGCUUUGAAUCUGUCUGACUUCUCCAGGGAAACAAAGGGCACACAGGUCAGACGAACCACCAGCUGGUCUCCCUUCUCUAAAGCCGAAAGAAGGAAAUGCCGAAAGGAGAGAGCAGAAGAGAAGCUGCGGGAACUCAGAAAAUUCCCAGUGACAGAAGACCGUGCCUCAGGGAAGAGAGGAGGCAGGGGGAUGGGCAGACGGACUCAGCAUCUCAGCCUCAGUGUAGGAUGGGCCAGGAAGCUCCAGAUUCGCAUUAUCGAAUCCGCCAGUAUCAGAGGCUCAUGUGAGCCCGGAUCCAGGAUGACAUGAACGGAGUGUGGUUCAAGAAUCCAACACUUCAGAGAUGGAGUCAGGAGGAUCAGAUGUUCAAGGUCAUCCUUGGCUACACAGCAAGUUUGAGG
Molecule: non-coding RNA, 1697 nt
Organism: Myodes glareolus (Bank vole)
Lineage: Eukaryota; Metazoa; Chordata; Mammalia; Rodentia; Cricetidae
Source: RefSeq, a predicted model, not a curated record